UACAGAGGUCUCAAGCGUUGUUCGGAUUCAUUGGGCGUAAAGGGUGCGUAGGCGGCGCGGUAAGUCGGGUGUGAAAUCUCGGGGCUUAACUCCGAAACUGCAUUCGAUACUGCCGUGCUUGAGGACUGGAGAGGAGACUGGAAUUCCUGGUGUAGCGGUGGAAUGCGCAGAUAUCAGGAGGAACACCGGUGGCGAAGGCGGGUCUCUGGGCAGUAACUGACGCUGAGGAGCGAAAGCGUGGGGAGCGAACAGG
This 253-nucleotide ribosomal RNA is filed under the name uncultured bacterium. Its description in RNAcentral is "partial 16S ribosomal RNA". It matches the Rfam family "Bacterial small subunit ribosomal RNA", at positions 524 to 776 of the family's 1533-position model. The record is from RNAcentral.